This 380-nucleotide ribosomal RNA is filed under the name uncultured eukaryote. RNAcentral's name for it is "partial 18S ribosomal RNA". It matches the Rfam family "Eukaryotic small subunit ribosomal RNA", at positions 592 to 976 of the family's 1831-position model. The record is from RNAcentral.
CAAUAGCGUAUAUUAAAGUUGUUGCAGUUAAAAAGCUCGUAGUUGGAUUUGUGGCGUACGGUGUGUUCCGGGCACUUGUUGUCUGAGUAACCUGCUGUUGCCAUCCUUGGGUGGAACCUGUGUGGCAUUAGGUUGUCGUGCAGUGGAUGCCCAUCAUUUACUGUGAAAAAAUUAGAGUGUUCAAAGCAGGCUUAUGCCGUUGAAUAUAUUAGCAUGGAAUAAUGAGAUAGGACUUUUUUGCUAUUUUGUUGGUUUGCGCAAAGAGGUAAUGAUUAAUAGGGACAGUUGGGGGUAUUCGUAUUCCAUUGUCAGAGGUGAAAUUCUUGGAUUUUUGGAAGACGAACUACUGCGAAAGCAUUUACCAAGGAUGUUUUCAUUAA